AUUGAACGCUGGCGGCAUGCUUUACACAUGCAAGUCGAACGGCAGCGCGGGCUUCGGCCUGGCGGCGAGUGGCGAACGGGUGAGUAAUGCAUCGGAACGUGCCCAGUAGUGGGGGAUAGCCCGGCGAAAGCCGGAUUAAUACCGCAUACGACCUGAGGGUGAAAGCGGGGGACCGAAAGGCCUCGCGCUAUUGGAGCGGCCGAUGUCGGAUUAGCUAGUUGGUGGGGUAAAGGCUUACCAAGGCGACGAUCCGUAGCUGGUCUGAGAGGACGACCAGCCACACUGGGACUGAGACACGGCCCAGACUCCUACGGGAGGCAGCAGUGGGGAAUUUUGGACAAUGCGCGCAACCCUGAUCCAGCCAUGCCGCGUGAGGGAAGAAGGCCUUCGGGUUGUAAAGCGCUUUUGUUCGGGAAGAAAUCCUCUGGGCUAAUACCCCGGGGGGAUGACGGUACCGGAAGAAUAAGCACCGGCUAACUACGUG
RNAcentral lists this ribosomal RNA (484 nucleotides) under uncultured bacterium. RNAcentral describes it as "partial 16S ribosomal RNA". It matches the Rfam family "Bacterial small subunit ribosomal RNA", at positions 29 to 507 of the family's 1533-position model. The record is from RNAcentral.